CAGUCGCCGCGGGAACACGUAGGGUGCAAGCGUUAAUCGGAAUUACUGGGCGUAAAGCGUGCGCAGGCGGUUUGUUAAGACAGAUGUGAAAUCCCCGGGCUCAACCUGGGAACUGCAUUUGUGACUGGCAAGCUAGAGUGUGGCAGAGGGGGGUGGAAUUCCGCGUGUAGCAGUGAAAUGCGUAGAUAUGCGGAGGAACACCGAUGGCGAAGGCAGCCCCCUGGGCCAACACUGACGCUCAUGCACGAAAGCGUGGGGAGCAAACAGGAUUAGAUACCCCUGUAGUCCCUGUCUCUUAUAC
Molecule: ribosomal RNA, 301 nt
Filed under: uncultured bacterium
Lineage: Bacteria
Description: partial 16S ribosomal RNA
Rfam family: Bacterial small subunit ribosomal RNA
Source: RNAcentral